GACGAACGCUGGCGGCGUGCCUAAUACAUGCAAGUCGAACGCUUCUUUCCUCCCGAGUGCUUGCACUCAAUUGGAAAGAGGAGUGGCGGACGGGUGAGUAACACGUGGGUAACCUACCCAUCAGAGGGGGAUAACACUUGGAAACAGGUGCUAAUACCGCAUAACAGUUUAUGCCGCAUGGCAUAAGAGUGAAAGGCGCUUUCGGGUGUCGCUGAUGGAUGGACCCGCGGUGCAUUAGCUAGUUGGUGAGGUAACGGCUCACCAAGGCCACGAUGCAUAGCCGACCUGAGAGGGUGAUCGGCCACACUGGGACUGAGACACGGCCCAGACUCCUACGGGAGGCAGCAGUAGGGAAUCUUCGGCAAUGGACGAAAGUCUGACCGAGCAACGCCGCGUGAGUGAAGAAGGUUUUCGGAUCGUAAAACUCUGUUGCUAGAGAAGAACAAGGACGUUAGUAACUGAACGUCCCCUGACGGUAUCUAACCAGAAAGCCACGGCUAACUACGUGCCAGCAGCCGCGGUAAUACGUAGGUGGCAAGCGUUGUCCGGAUUUAUUGGGCGUAAAGCGAGCGCAGGCGGUUUCUUAAGUCCGAUGUGAAAACCCCCGGCUCAACCGGGGAGGGUCAUUGGAAACUGGGAGACUUGAGUGCAGAAGAGGAGAGUGGAAUUCCAUGUGUAGCGGUGAAAUGCGUAGAUAUAUGGAGGAACACCAGUGGCGAAGGCGGCUCUCUGGUCUGUAACUGACGCUGAGGCUCGAAAGCGUGGGGAGCAAACAGG
RNAcentral lists this ribosomal RNA (777 nucleotides) under uncultured Lactobacillales bacterium. RNAcentral's name for it is "bacterial SSU rRNA". It matches the Rfam family "Bacterial small subunit ribosomal RNA", at positions 28 to 776 of the family's 1533-position model. The record is from RNAcentral. Lineage: Bacteria; Bacillati; Bacillota; Bacilli; Lactobacillales.